RNAcentral lists this ribosomal RNA (253 nucleotides) under uncultured bacterium. RNAcentral's name for it is "partial 16S ribosomal RNA". It matches the Rfam family "Bacterial small subunit ribosomal RNA", at positions 524 to 776 of the family's 1533-position model. The record is from RNAcentral.
UACGGGGGGGGCAAGCGUUGUUCGGAAUUACUGGGCGUAAAGGGCUCGUAGGCGGCCAACUAAGUCAGACGUGAAAUCCCUCGGCUUAACCGGGGAACUGCGUCUGAUACUGGAUGGCUUGAGGUUGGGAGAGGGAUGCGGAAUUCCAGGUGUAGCGGUGAAAUGCGUAGAUAUCUGGAGGAACACCGGUGGCGAAGGCGGCAUCCUGGACCAAUGCUGACGCUGAGGAGCGAAAGCCAGGGGAGCAAACGGG